This is a non-coding RNA of Vicia faba (fava bean), 126 nucleotides long. The record is from the annotation of a GenBank genome assembly. NCBI's taxonomy places the organism in Eukaryota, Viridiplantae, Streptophyta, Magnoliopsida, Fabales, Fabaceae.
GUCAUCUGUACUCACGGCUUCAAGAAAAUUCACCAUGCUCCAAAGGGAGUGUUGACUAAUGUUGUGGACAUGCUAGAUAUGUUGGAUCUACCGCAAUCAACCUCUCCGAGAGCAUUUUCGCAGUAG